GGCUCAUGGAGACACUUUAAACUGGAAGCAAGAGACCCCAGGGAAGAGUGUUCUUAGGCAGAGGGAACAUAACAUGCUAGCGUGCUAUGAGGGGACAUUGCUGUGCAAGUGGCAAAAAGAGUCCUGUCCCAGCACUGCCAGGGUAAGAUAAAGGCUGGUCAUCUGUGCAUGCGUUCAUCUGAGUGGAACGUGAGUCCCGGGGGCUGCUGCCACCGUGCCGGUCCCUCCUGUCAUCCGAGCCCGUGUCAGAGGACGCGGCGCCUGCAAGGAAGAAGGGUUGCCGCAGGUGUGGCCAGAUCCUCUAGGCAAGAGGUGUGGAUUCAGGUCCUACUAGUCUUACUCCUGAUGAAGCUGGGCAAAUCAGUUGGCUCUGGAGUAAUUAGUAGCCCCUUCCUCACUGACCAUUGCAAGGUGAUCUUCUCAACAUAUACCUCAGUUAACAUUGUGCGGAUGGCCGCCUUCUCCUCUCCUGGAAAUAUGCAAAUUGACAACACAUUUUAUCCUUCACAGGAAACAACAGAGUGAGGUCAUAACAGGACUCUUCUUCCCAGAAACUUCUUCUCAGACUUCCACUCAGAGGUCACUGGCCAGAAAUGAUGACAUAUGGAUUCCUUAAUUUCAGAGAAACAGAAAAAUAAGCAUCAUCUGCUAAAAGAGAAUGGGGUUAUACUGACUGGCUGAGGACAUUCAUGCCCGAGCCACUAGGUCUGGGCAAAUUGGGCACUUUCAAAGUGCAUCAUGAAAGUGUUCUUAAGAAAAAGGUGGGGUAUGUGGAUUCUGGAUAAGCAAAGUGUCUGCCACACUGAAAUCCUUAUCUAGUUUCCUAAAAUCCUAGAUUAGAAAAUUCAAAUGGCUUCACUUGUGUGAUUAUUGUCUCUGCUAUAUGCUUCAGAAGAAAAUAAAAGUAUGUUCAUAACAUUCAUUUUAAAUCU
Molecule: long non-coding RNA, 932 nt
Filed under: Pan troglodytes (chimpanzee)
Lineage: Eukaryota; Metazoa; Chordata; Mammalia; Primates; Hominidae
Description: lincRNA
Source: RNAcentral